Molecule: non-coding RNA, 932 nt
Filed under: Petropedetes sp. MVZ 234827
Lineage: Eukaryota; Metazoa; Chordata; Amphibia; Anura; Petropedetidae
Description: 12S ribosomal RNA
Rfam family: Bacterial small subunit ribosomal RNA
Source: RNAcentral
CUAAAAGUUUGGUCCUAGCUUUACUAUCAAUUGUUUCUCGACUUACACAUGCAAGUCUCAGCAUACCCGUGAGAAAGCCCUUUCCCCUACACCAGUUUAAGGAGCAGGCAUCAGGCACAACAAACCUUAGCCCAUAACGCCUAGUUACACCACACCCACAAGGGUCCUCAGCAGUGAUAUACUUUGAAUAUAAGCGCCAGCUUGAUUCAGUUAGAGAAAAGAGAGUCGGCCAAAUCGGUGCCAGCCGCCGCGGCUAAACCGUAGACUCAAAUUGAUAGUCCUCCGGCGUCCAACGUGAUUAGGGUAAUACCAUUUUAGAGCUAAAUAGACAUUCAGGUGUAAUAACCUUGUUGCCUAGAAAACCAAAAACGAAAGUUGCUCUAAUUAACGCCUGAAUACACGACAACUAAGACUCAAACCGGGAUUAGAUACCCCGCUAUGCUUAGUCGUAAAAUAUUUACUUACACCACCAAACGCCAGGGCAUUACGAGUCUUAGCUCAAAACCCAAAGGACUUGACGGUGUCCCACCCACCUAGAGGAGCCUGUUCUAUAAUCGAUACCCCCCGCUAUACCUCACCACUUUUAGCCUAUCAGCCUGUAUACCUCCGUCGUAAGUUUACCGUGUGAACGCUUGUAGUAAGCUAAAUGACUUUCCGUCAGUACGUCAGGUCAAGGUGCAGCCCAUAAAGUGGCAAGCAAUGGGCUACAAUUUCUAAUUUAGAACAAACGGAUAAACUGUAAUGAAACAGUUUAGAAGGAGGAUUUAGUAGUAAAAAGGAAGUAUGAGUAUCCCUUUUAAUUCGGCACUGGGACGUGUACACACCGCCCGUCACCCUCUUCGCAGUAUUUAAUAUGUACUUAACAUCUAUCUACACUAUAGAAGAGGUAAGUCGUAACACGGUAAGUGUACUGGAAAGUGCACUUGGAUAAG